Molecule: ribosomal RNA, 392 nt
Filed under: uncultured Actinomadura sp.
Lineage: Bacteria; Bacillati; Actinomycetota; Actinomycetes; Streptosporangiales; Thermomonosporaceae
Description: bacterial SSU rRNA
Rfam family: Bacterial small subunit ribosomal RNA
Source: RNAcentral
GUGCCAGCAGCUGCGGUAAUACGUAGGGCGCAAGCGUUGUCCGGAAUUAUUGGGCGUAAAGAGCUCGUAGGCGGUUUGUUGCGUCUGUCGUGAAAGCCCACGGCUUAACCGUGGGUUUGCGGUGGAUACGGGCAGACUUGAGGCAGGUAGGGGAGAACGGAAUUCCCGGUGUAGCGGUGAAAUGCGCAGAUAUCGGGAGGAACACCGGUGGCGAAGGCGGUUCUCUGGGCCUGUACUGACGCUGAGGAGCGAAAGCGUGGGAGCGAACAGGAUUAGAUACCCUGGUAGUCCACGCCGUAAACGUUGGGCGCUAGGUGUGGGGUUCUUCCGACGGAUUCCGCGCCGUAGCUAACGCAUUAAGCGCCCCGCCUGGGGACGUACGGCCGCAAGGC